UGGAAAAAGGUGCAUUUUUUUUUAUUUUUUUUAUAAACCAACUUUGAUUUUUUACAAUUUAUUAGUCCCACAAGGGGACUUGACUGACAAGAGAUCUGCGUGCUUCUAUAAUGUACUUAAUGCUAAUGAAGCUCUGGCACAGUGAUAGGGCAUACACUGCAGGCAGACCAAGGGGCCUCCAUUAGACACACAGCUGCAAUUCUAAGACAUCAACACCCCGUGAUAUAAUUUGCCGGUGUGCGGAUGCCUGACACAGAGUUCCCUUCCACUAAACUGCUUGAAUGCUGUGGUCGCUAUUGGCUGCAACAUCUAAUGGUUUAAACAGCCCAGAUCAGUGCUUCUGCUAGUCUGGGCCUUUAGAGCAGGAGACUGGCUCUCAUUUGAGUGCCACACUCAUGCUUUGUGAUACAUGGGUGCAGUGCUUAGAUUAGGCUGCCGUAAAAAGGCGCCGGCCUAGCCUAAGACCUGUUAGUGACCGCCGUAAAAAGGCAUACUGACAGUCACUAAUGGGUUAAAGAUCUACACAUGUUAAGUAUUGUAAUAAUUUGAAAAGCUCAACAGGUUAUGUUGUCCAAAACAUAGAAUGUGUCUGGCCACAUUUAGGCGGAGUUUCCACAGGGCAUCAGCAACUCCAUCCACCAGCAGUUGUCCAUGGCCAUCUGAAAUUUAAGAGUAUACCUCUGUUAAACCUAAGUAUUUGAGUGGCCAUAAACAGUCAUAGAUACACCUAUGCAGGAGCUAAUUGUAUAUUGUACUCGAAUGCUAGCAUAUCAGCUCUCAAGGUGGAAUAGUCUGGGAUAAAUGUACUAAAGAGGAAGGUCACAAUUAAAGGGGUAUUCCCAUCUCAUAAAGUAGGCCCUAGCGUGCCUAAAACAGCAGUACAUGGCACUUGCUAAUUGGGAUGUGUCAGCAAAGGUGCCUCUUUCCAUACUGUUUCUUCCUUCCUCUACCCCUUCUUACACAGCUUUUAUGGAAUUUGGCCCCCGCUGCAGUCAAGAGUUCCUCUAUCUGUAGUGGCUGUAAGCGUACAUGCACAAUAGCCCCUCUCCAGGCCACCUCACAUCACUUUUGUAGAAUGGCUUCAAGACAUCUGCGGUAGCUUUGGAGUUGUUUUAUACAGCUCGGUCACUAGAUGCUCUCACCAGCCUUCCUCCUCACCAAAGUUGCUAAUGAAAAUGCUUCACUAGCAGCCUCGGGAACUUGCAUGCACAGGCAGUUGCUGUGGUGAUGUCAUCAGAGUGCCGCUUGUCUGUGCUAUCAGUCAAAAUACAGGUCAUCUCCCCAUAGCAAUCAGGAAGUUCAGGGUUGCAGCCCAGAACCUGUUUGAUGGGGCAACCCCUUUAUUGGCAGUUCCUUUUGUUAGAUAGUAGAAAAGGGUACAUCUAAUUUGCCAGCUAUGUUACUUCAGCAUGCAAUUUCUUCUUUAUAAAUGGGUAAAAAUGAAGGUCAAUUUAGCACAAAACAUGAUUUACUUGUGAAGAUGUUGCAGAUUUAACACAUAUGAAUUACUGUACCUAUAUUUUCUACACUACCCCAAUAGCUUCAUAUGAUUCAUUCAGGUACUUACAUUUCAUGUGUUGAGAAUGUAUAUUGUUUUGUUUAUUACACACUAUUACUCAGUCUUUUUCCUGUUACAUAUCAUCUGACAGUAGGGUUAAACGGGUGAUGACAUAUAGCAGGACAUACAAUAUUUUUGUGUGUGCAGAUAUUCUUCUGUCCUCAGAGAAUUGUUAAUUUAUUCUCAUCCAAUUCUGUACAGUUCAACAAUAAUGUGAAAGGUAUUGUUUGUGACAGUACAUGCCUGCUAUUGCACAUCGUCAACUCCUUUUUUGUGUGUGUUUUAUCUGUUACGUUAAUAGAAAACAUGCUGUGUACAGAGCCAUCUCUUAAAAGAUUUUUUUUUGAAAGUUCAGGGAUUUUGAGCUGUUAAAAUUUUGUUAUGCAGUGUCUUUUUUUUUUUUUUGACUGGUUUAGAUUAUUUUUUUCUUAAGACAACUGUACAAAUACUGUGAAGAUACGUUAAGGUUUUAUUGACUUCUGAUGAUCCGGGGUUUUUAAAAUAUGCUGUAGUUGGAGUAAAUGAAAAGUUUGCUGUGCUCUAUUUAUCUAUAAAUCAGUUGAUAUAUUUGAAACUUUUUCUUGCUUUGAUUACUAUAAAGAUUUUUCCAACACCAGA
Molecule: long non-coding RNA, 2176 nt
Organism: Bufo gargarizans (Asiatic toad)
Lineage: Eukaryota; Metazoa; Chordata; Amphibia; Anura; Bufonidae
Exons: 2
Source: RefSeq, a predicted model, not a curated record